RNAcentral lists this ribosomal RNA (418 nucleotides) under uncultured bacterium. RNAcentral describes it as "bacterial SSU rRNA". It matches the Rfam family "Bacterial small subunit ribosomal RNA", at positions 30 to 450 of the family's 1533-position model. The record is from RNAcentral.
GUGAACGUUGGCGGCGUGGAUUAGGCAUGCAAGUCGUGCGGAAAGGCCCCGCAAGGGGUACUCGAGCGGCGAAAGGGAUAGUAACACGUAGGUACCUACCUCCGGGACGGGGAUAGCCGCGGGAAACUGCGAUUAAUACCCGAUAACGUCAGUGGCGCAAGCCAUUGCCCAAAGGUGUGAUUCCGCCCAGAGAUGGGCCUGCGUCCUAUUAGCUAGUUGGCGGGGUAACGGCCCACCAAGGCAAAGAUGGGUAGCGGGUGUGAGAGCACGACCCGCAUCACUGGGACUGAGACACUGCCCAGACACCUACGGGUGGCUGCAGUCGAGAAUCUUCGGCAAUGGGCGCAAGCCUGACCGAGCGACGCCGCGUGCGGGAUGAAGGCCUUCGGGUUGUAAACCGCUGUCGUAGGGGAGGAAA